Molecule: long non-coding RNA, 1245 nt
Filed under: Cyanistes caeruleus (blue tit)
Lineage: Eukaryota; Metazoa; Chordata; Aves; Passeriformes; Paridae
Description: lncRNA (ENSCCEG00000001425.1)
Source: RNAcentral
AGCCGGCAGUGGUGCUCCCCAGGGCCGGCCCCGCUGCUCGCCAGAGAAAACCUCGAGCUCUCCCGGGGCACUUAUCGGGGCCGUGCACUCCGCUCAGGAAGGAAACAUCGGCCAACCCACCCGGAUCCUGCACCGGGCACCGCCGCCUCCCCGAGAAACGCCAGCAGCAGCAGCACCCCGGCUGCUGGGAGGGGAGGAAAAAUUAAACCAAACCAAACCAAACCAAAAGCCCCGAGGGGCCAGGAGGAAGCGAGCGGGCCAUGAGGAACGUGCGGGCACAGGGGAUGGUGUUUGCAGCCGGGGCGGCGAUAACGCCGGGAAGCGAGGCUCUAUCUCUGCCCAGCCGCUGCCCUGCCGAGCACGUCCCGCCAAGGUUGCAGGCGAGGGGAGAUGUUAUCUGUCCCUCGCCAGCCUCGCCGGGCCCGGCUUCUCAGAAGAGCCGCCCAAAGCUCGGGGCCGUCCGGCGUGCGGGCAGCGCGGGACAUGCGCCCGCAGCAGCCGGGCAGAAUCCCCGAGCAGGGCCCCGUCUAUCAGCACCGCCAGCCUGCCCGUGACUCAGCAUCCUCCGCCCCGCUCCCGCUUCCUCCCGGCACCCGGGAAUCGCCGCCGGCACGCUCAGAGGAUGCUCCCGCAAAAUGCGGAGGGAAGCGAGGCGCUCAUGCGAACGGCUCCUGAGCCAGCCAGAGGAGCCGGCAGCACCAAGCAGUGCCAGGGCAGUGCUGGGAGCCAGCACCUCAAUCCUGCCACCCUCUCCCGGAGGAUGAGCAUUCAGAGCCAGCUGGCCUCGCCACGGAGGAGCUGCCGGAUCCAACUCGCCACCUUCCCACCACGGAACAGCUAUCCAGGGGCUGUGGCCGCAUGGGAAGGUCACCCUGCACCACAAAUGCAGCCUCGAGGGGAGGUGUGAGGGAGCAGAGCCGUGCCCCUGUGCCCAGCCCUGCUCACGCUCUCCGUGGGUGCAGCACCAGCACCUGAAAAUGAAACCGGCCCCACUCGCCGCAGUUCCACGCCAGUGACGUGCAUAGGAAAUGUGAUUGAUGCGCCGGCUCUCCCAGAAAUAACUGUUCCCAACCGGAGGAGAAGCGUUUGCAGCUCCCUUUGUAAGCACAGGACUAUUCAAAACUCAUCCCAAGGAUUAUUUUCAGGAGAGGGCGAAGCGAGGGGCUGGGAGACGCCCUGGCCGGCCCCGCAGCUCCCCGCUUCCUGAGUGGCAGAAAUACAAAGUUCCCACAAUCCCAAGAGCGG